RNAcentral lists this ribosomal RNA (494 nucleotides) under uncultured bacterium. RNAcentral's name for it is "partial 16S ribosomal RNA". It matches the Rfam family "Bacterial small subunit ribosomal RNA", at positions 28 to 507 of the family's 1533-position model. The record is from RNAcentral.
GACGGACGCUGGCGGCGUGCUUAACACAUGCAAGUCGAACGGUGAAGCGCCUUCCUUUUUGGUGGGUGUGGAUGAGUGGCGAACGGGUGAGUAACACGUGAGUAACCUGCCCCCUUCUUCUGGAUAACCGCAUGAAAGUGUGGCUAAUACGGGAUAUUCUGGGUCUGUCGCAUGAUGGGUCUGGGAAAGAUAUUGUUUCGGUGGGGGAUGGGCUCGCGGCCUAUCAGCUUGUUGGUGGGGUGAUGGCCUACCAAGGCGGUGACGGGUAGCCGGCCUGAGAGGGUGGACGGUCACACUGGGACGGAGACACGGCCCAGACUCCUACAGGAGGCAGCAGUGGGGAAUAUUGCACAAUGGGCGCAAGCCUGAUGCAGCGACGCCGCGUGAGGGAUGGAGGCCUGCGGGUUGUGAACCUCUUUCGCCAGUGAAGCAGGCCUGCCUCGUUUGUGGGUGGGUUGACGGUAGCUGGAUAAGAAGCGCCGGCUAACUACGUG